GCUGAGCAGCAUUUCCCGCUGAGGCCUGACAAGAUGAUCUGCCCGGCACAGCUCCUCUGGGUCCUGCUGCUGUGGGCUCCCGCUUCCCUGGGUGAAGUUGUUCUGACUCAGACUCCAGAAACCCUGGCCGCGUCCCCUGGAGACACAGUCACCAUCAAGUGCAAGGCCAGUACCAGCAUUAGCAACUACAUAGGCUGGUACCUCCAGAAACCAGGAGAAGCCCCAAAGCUCCUGAUCUACGAUUCUACCAACCGUGUCUCUGGGAUCCCCGACAGGUUCAGCGGCAGUGGGUCUGGCACUGAUUUCACUCUCACCAUCAGCAGGGUUGAAACCAAGGAUGCUGGAGAUUAUUACUGUCAGCAGCGUCAGAGCACCCCGAUCACAGUGCUACAGACCCGCACAAAAACCUCCUG
Molecule: non-coding RNA, 413 nt
Organism: Alligator sinensis (Chinese alligator)
Lineage: Eukaryota; Metazoa; Chordata; Crocodylia; Alligatoridae
Source: the annotation of a RefSeq genome assembly